Molecule: unclassified non-coding RNA, 371 nt
Filed under: uncultured Eubacteriaceae bacterium
Lineage: Bacteria; Bacillati; Bacillota; Clostridia; Eubacteriales; Eubacteriaceae
Description: contains 16S-23S intergenic spacer region
Source: RNAcentral
UCCGUAUUAUCUACGGCAGUCUAUCUAGAGUGCCCAGCUUAACCUGAUGGCAACUAAAUAUAGGGGUUGCGCUCGUUGCGGGACUUAACCCAACAUCUCACGACACGAGCUGACGACAACCAUGCACCACCUGUCUGCUUGUCCCCGAAGGGAACGUCCAAUCUCUUGGAUUGUCAAGCGAUGUCAAGACCUGGUAAGGUUCUUCGCGUUGCUUCGAAUUAAACCACAUGCUCCGCUGCUUGUGCGGGCCCCCGUCAAUUCCUUUGAGUUUCAGUCUUGCGACCGUACUCCCCAGGCGGAGUGCUUAUUGUGUUAACUGCGGCACUGGGUCUCCCCAACACCUAGCACUCAUCGUUUACGGCGUGGACUAC